This 253-nucleotide ribosomal RNA is filed under the name uncultured bacterium. RNAcentral describes it as "partial 16S ribosomal RNA". It matches the Rfam family "Bacterial small subunit ribosomal RNA", at positions 524 to 776 of the family's 1533-position model. The record is from RNAcentral.
UACGAUGGGGGCUAGCGUUGUUCGGAUUUACUGGGCGUAAAGCGCACGUAGGCGGAUCGUUAAGUCGGGGGUGAAAUCCUGGAGCUCAACUCCAGAACUGCCUUCGAUACUGGCGAUCUUGAGUCCGGAAGAGGUGAGUGGAACUCCUAGUGUAGAGGUGGAAUUCGUAGAUAUUAGGAAGAACACCAGUGGCGAAGGCGGCUCACUGGUCCGGUACUGACGCUGAGGUGCGAAAGCGUGGGGAGCAAACAGG